RNAcentral lists this ribosomal RNA (310 nucleotides) under Fusarium oxysporum. RNAcentral describes it as "SSU rRNA". It matches the Rfam family "Eukaryotic small subunit ribosomal RNA", at positions 891 to 1203 of the family's 1831-position model. The record is from RNAcentral. Lineage: Eukaryota; Fungi; Ascomycota; Sordariomycetes; Hypocreales; Nectriaceae.
UCAGUAUUCAAUUGUCAGAGGUGAAAUUCUUGGAUUUAUUGAAGACUAACUAGCGAAAGCAUUUGCCAAGGAUGUUUUCAUUAAUCAGGAACGAAAGUUAGGGGAUCGAAGACGAUCAGAUACCGUCGUAGUCUUAACCAUAAACUAUGCCGACUAGGGAUCGGACGGUGUUAUUUUUUGACCCGUUCGGCACCUUACGAGAAAUCAAAGUGCUUGGGCUCCAGGGGGAGUAUGGUCGCAAGGCUGAAACUUAAAGAAAUUGACGGAAGGGCACCACCAGGGGUGGAGCCUGCGGCUUAAUUUGACUCAA